This 2666-nucleotide long non-coding RNA is filed under the name Mizuhopecten yessoensis (Yesso scallop). Its description in RNAcentral is "uncharacterized LOC110445225". Lineage: Eukaryota; Metazoa; Mollusca; Bivalvia; Pectinida; Pectinidae. The record is from RNAcentral.
CAGUUUCAAUUUUUGUAUGUUUCAGGGUCGGUUCAUCAUGGGCAACAAGACAGCCCGCACAGUGACAUUCUUCUACACCAUCCUCCUACAUAGUCUCGUCUUCCUGGUGCUGUACAAGGUGGCCCACACCGAGUCCUGUAAGAGAGACAUGGCGGCUGACUGUCAUGAGAAGUUUGCUGAGCACAUGUUGAAGGCACAUGGGACACAUCACCAAUGAGGACUGACCCCUACACUGACCACUGGAACUACUGUACACGUCGACUGACCCGCCAGCAGCGUUACACCAGGCUUACCAAGCCGUUCAGUGAUCAGUGGCCGGUCUCACAUCAACAAAGACAUUAACUACGUAACGCUUGCCGUGUAACACAAUUUGAAGAAGGACCUACAUUUACUAAUAUUUCCAUAGGAAAUAAUCAAAACUUUAAUAGUGUCAUACUAGACUACAUAACAUAACUUAUAUCUGUACACUUCAUACAGUACUGAUUUUAUAUCUUUUAUUUCUUUCUACACAGCUAUUUGCCAGCUGUGAAUGAAAAUUGAAUUGUUUAAACAAUAUUCUAUAUAUUUAUUUUGCUACGUAUAUUUGGGGGACAUCAUUGGGUCUUGUAUGUCGAAAAUAUCAAUGAAAAUGACAUUUCUUAUGGCAUCAAAAUUGAACCACAGAAAUGAUGAAAUGAAGAUUUAUCUUGAUAAUUAAAACAUGUCACCUUUUACUAUGUAGGUGGCUUUAGCACAUAGGACACACCUUUUUCAUGCAAUGGAAUUCUAUUUCUGGACACUACUGUAUUGUAUUCUUACAAGUGUUUUUGGAUCACACUGUCAAGUCAUUUGGUUAUAAAGUUUUGGCGAAAUAUUCCUGGUAAUUACACCAAUUGUCAGUCAGCAAAGCCUUUAUAACUCUUGGGUUCUUCACUCCGUAUGUACUCGUCAGGAGAGGGAGGCUAGUACAACUGUAAAACAAAAAUAAACCCCUACAACUGUACGCAGUAUGUAACAAUACUUCUGAAAUAUUUCCCGGAGAAUCAGUUUUUAAUUACUGUUGUAAAAUUAACAGUCUGUGUUAACCUGCUGGAUAGGUAUACUUUGUAUUGGGGACCAACAUGUUAAAAAUGACAUACAUUAUAUAUUUAUACCUGCAAAACACAUUAUAUACAGUAAAUCAUUUCACUUUGACAUUUUAGUUUACAUAACUGAAAAAAGUUAUUUUCAAGAUUACAAAAGGAAUCGUUUAGUUCUUAAAGCUUUUAUUUUUAUCUGUUAAUGAUGUCCGAUGGAAAAAAGUUCAUCUGAUCAAGAAACGCAUUUUAUGUAACAUUUUGAGAAUUUCUCAAAAAGUUCUUUCCUAAAGAAAGAGGAAUGCUUUGUUUUCUAUGUUGCAUGAUGGGAUGGUAGAGGGCUACUUGUGAUAAUUUUUUAUACUCAGAAUUACUUGUGACGGAGGGAGAAUCAAAGACUUGUGGGAAAGGAUUGUAAUAUUGUACAGGUUUUUUAAAGAAAAGGUGGAAGUAUUGGUUAUUUUAAUGUUUUUAAUAAACAUCUUGAGGCUACCAACAGGUUUUGUUUUUAUUUCACUUAUACAGAUCGUAGAUAAGAGAUUGUCUCCCUUACACUGUAUAUAUCACAACUGGACAUGCACAUCUAGCUCUUCAUUUUGUUAACCACAUUACAGUUUAAUCAGUUGCACAGAGUUUAUUCCUUUAUGAAAUAGAGAUGGACCUACAGAUUUAUUUUUUAUUUUUUUGGGGGGGAGGGGUUAUGUCUUAAAGAUGGAGUUUCCUAGGAAAAACCCCAGACCUGCGGCCAGUACCCGACGACUCCCCCAAGUAAGCCUCGAACAUGCAACCCAGUGGCAAGGUACAGUACCUGGCGACUGCCCCACGUAGGCCUCGAAGCCCUGACCCACUGGUGGAGGGCUAGUGGUAACUACUCGGCCACAGCAGCCCUUUAAUUGAUGUUGCUUUCUUGGUCAGUGUUAUAAUUAGUGUGCAUGAACAAACAUGUCCCCAGAUCUAUCUAGCUCCUAAAAAUAUGUUUCAAUGACGGUUUUUGGUAUCAUUUGGGUCAAUACACUUUUAAACCAGUCAGAGAAAGAUGUUUUGCCAAAAAGACAGACUCCAGAACAUAGUUCUAUAACAGAAGGUUGACAAAAAGACAGACUCCAGAACAUAGUUCUAUAACAGAAGGUUGACAAAAUCUUUUGACAAAUCUGACCUUGAAAUUAGAUUUUUAAUCAACUUUAAUCACUUAGUCCAGGCAUUGCUCAAGUUAUUUUAAUUAAGUUCUGCACAAAUCUUGAACCAUUUCCUGAUCCCAGAGCCACUAGAUGGAUGUAAAAGUGAUAGGACAGCUACUUGUGAGCCAAACUCUAUUGUUUACAGCUGUCCUGUAGGUAUUGAUACUGAACAAACAACAGUUACAUGUGAGACAGACUCUAUUGUCUACAGCUGUCCUGUAGGUAUUGAUACUGAACAAACAACAGUUACAUGUGAGACAGACUCUAUUGUCUACAGCUGUCCUGUAGGUAUUGAUACUGAACAAACAACAGUUACAUGCAUAUAUUGUUUAAUACAGUUUUAUCAGUUGAGGAGUGGGAUCACAGAAAUCAUAACAAGUUCAUCAUUUAACACAUAACAGGCAUAAUCUGUUCUAUUAAGCAAAUAAAUAAA